ACGACUACAAUACGGAUAGUAUUUUCUAUCAGACAGUAAUAUCAUACACCAUCCAACGAGAAGGAAAAAGAGGAAAUAAUUAUUGGAAUCGCCAGCUGUUUUAACCAAUUAUUUGAGAAAAUGUAAAAAAUUAUUUGAAAAAAAUGUCAAAUGUCUACGGCAAAAAUUCGAAGACAUAAUAACAUGUCCACUCUGAAGGCUAUUCGUUUCUUCCAGGCUGCGUCCGGCGGCUGUUCAUUUUUUCUACGGCCAGAUAUACGGUGUCAUAGCCGCCGCGGAUUUCGUCUGGGCCAUUGAUAACGGCGCACCGCAUGCGGCGGUCUUGUUGUUUAUCUCCGAACGGAUAAACGUGAAAUGUGUCUUAAAUAUUAACGGAAAAAGUAUUUUUUAUGGUCAGUGUUUGCGGUUGGGUUUUGGAGUUGAAAAAGUAACGUUCUGUAGGCUGUUCCCAAUGGGUAUACCUACUCUGCGACACUUUCGUUUACCGGCGUUGUGGAAGUUCUGGCGUCUCAUGAAGUCCACAAUUGAUUUUCCUGCGGCCAUCGAAAAAUCUCUGCGGUUAAGUUAUUCAUUUUGAUGUUGAUUAACGGAUAGUUUGCUUUCUAAUGUUACCACUUGAUUUUUCUACGUUGGAUUCACCAAUUUGAGAAGACUGUCAAUCGGUGAUACCGAUACAAGCCAAAUAUUUUGACCGUUGGAAACGACCAGUAUUGUGUCUGUUGAUUUCCAUGCCUGCCGAAAAAUGAUAAGAAUGUCAAAUUGGAUGCAAGAUCACUUUGUUGAUGUUACAAACUCAUUUAGCAAAUUAUAAAACUAAUAACUUAUUUACAUUUUUAACUGCCAAUUUUAAAAUAAUUGUAUGUAUGAUUGUUGAUGUAAAAUAUUUCAAGAUGCAUUUUCAAUAUUUUUUGUACUGUAAUUCGAAUAUUACACUUUGGUUAGAUUAGAUUAACUUAUAAUUUGUGCUAUUCAUUCUAUUAUAACUAAUUUAGGUACAUUUCAUUUGUUUUUUACUAUCGAGUUCACAGGAUACACAAACAUAUAAUUUUUCUACAAUUUUGGACUUCUGACAAACCAGCAGACCUCUUUAGUAUACCGCGUGUACCUUUCAUGAUUAAAUUCUAAUUCUAAUUCUAAACGUACAAUACCAAAUACUGACAUAGAUAUGAUUUCUCAACAGAUUACGAUUCUAAUGACCAAUAUCUAGACAUAUUAUAUAGUAUAGGUACUACACUUAAACAAGUUUUGUUUCGCAAAACACCAUACCACACAUUUAGCCGACUGACCUCUAAACAUUUCUUUCUGUUUUAUACCAUUGCUUACCAAGCCCGUAAAGUAAGCAACACCACAUACUUGAUUUUCAACAUAU
This is a long non-coding RNA of Adelges cooleyi (spruce gall adelgid), 1369 nucleotides long. RefSeq lists it as uncharacterized. The record is from RefSeq and is a predicted model, not a curated record. The transcript is spliced from 7 exons. Lineage: Eukaryota; Metazoa; Arthropoda; Insecta; Hemiptera; Adelgidae.